Molecule: ribosomal RNA, 832 nt
Filed under: uncultured Ascomycota
Lineage: Eukaryota; Fungi; Ascomycota
Description: SSU rRNA
Rfam family: Eukaryotic small subunit ribosomal RNA
Source: RNAcentral
GUGCCGCAGCCGCGGUAAUUCCAGCUCCAAUAGCGUAUAUUAAAGUUGUUGUGGUUAAAAAGCUCGUAGUUGAACCUUGGGCCUGGCUGGCCGGUCCGCCUCACCGCGUGCACUGGUCCGGCCGGGCCUUUCCCUCUGUGGAACCCCAUACCCUUCACUGGGCGUGGCGGGGAAACAGGACAUUUACUUUGAAAAAAUUAGAGUGCUCCAGGCAGGCCUAUGCUCGAAUACAUUAGCAUGGAAUAAUAAAAUAGGACGCGCGGUUCUAUUUUGUUGGUUUAUAGGACCGCCGUAAUGAUUAAUAGGGACAGUCGGGGGCAUCAGUAUUCAACUGUCAGAGGUGAAAUUCUUGGAUCAGUUGAAGACUAACUACUGCGAAAGCAUUUGCCAAGGAUGUUUUCAUUAAUCAGGAACGAAAGUUAGGGGAUCGAAGACGAUCAGAUACCGUCGUAGUCUUAACCAUAAACUAUGCCGACUAGGGAUCGGACGGUGUUAUUCAUGACCCGUUCGGCACCUUACGAGAAAUCAAAGUGCUUGGGCUCCAGGGGGAGUAUGGUCGCAAGGCUGAAACUUAAAGAAAUUGACGGAAGGGCACCACCAGGGGUGGAGCCUGCGGCUUAAUUUGACUCAACACGGGGAAACUCACCAGGUCCAGACACAAUAAGGAUUGACAGAUUGAGAGCUCUUUCUUGAUUUUGUGGGUGGUGGUGCAUGGCCGUUCUUAGUUGGUGGGGUGACUUGUCUGCUUAAUUGCGAUAACGAACGAGACCUUAACCUGCUAAAUAGCCCGCAUUGCUCCGGCAGUGCGCUGGCUUCUUAGAGGGACUUUCGG